Long non-coding RNA from Quercus robur (English oak), 1743 nucleotides. RefSeq lists it as uncharacterized. The record is from RefSeq and is a predicted model, not a curated record. The transcript is spliced from 2 exons. Lineage: Eukaryota; Viridiplantae; Streptophyta; Magnoliopsida; Fagales; Fagaceae.
GAUUUCUGUCUCCCCACCUUUUAAACAGUAACCCUUCAUCAGCGUUAAAUUUUCAGCGGUUUCAAUUCCUUAACGACAACCCUUUAGCUUUUGCUAACGCUAGCCUGUAACAGCAGUCUCUCUGUCUUCCCUUCUUUGUCUCUUCCUCUCCUCAAAAUAUAUUAAUACUGACAAAAGGUGGAUGAUUCAAUUCAGCUGCAAAUGAUUGAAAUUCAAGAGCUGCAUGUGAUGACAAACCAAAUAAGAGAAGCUCCAGAUUUGUUUGCAUAAUGGUAAUACAAAAACAAUGUGGUUAGUCCAUCUUCUACUCUCUCUUUUCUUUUAUAGAUUUCUUAAUAUUUUUUCCCUGUUUAUUUCCAAGUGUAAUUCCCAAAUUUUGAAUGUGCCUAAAGGGUUAUUUGAUAAUUAUCCAAUUGGGGAGAGGUGAGAAAUUUUUUUACCUGCAAACAAGUUCAGGUAUUUAAAUUUCUCCUUCUGCCAAAGUCAUUAUUUUCUUUCUCAGCAUAACACAAUGCAAGACUUAUGCAAUGAUAUAUUUGUCUAGCUUAGAUUAUUGGGAGAAUUUAUGUGAAUCAAUCUUGGACAAUAUUAAGGGUCUACUUAGAUCCAUAGGAAAUUUUAGGAAAAAUAUGCAUAAUUUUUCAGAUCUAUAAAAUUUUCAUUUGCCCAAACUCAAACACUAAAAAAAAAACCUCAUACAGUCUAAGUUUCAUAGACUACAAAAAAUCUUUUUUUACAAAUUCCUGAUGCAAUAUGCUAUUCUUGAUAUAAAGUAUGCAUAAUAAAAGAACACCAAAAUCAGCUUAGAAUUAUGCAGGGCAAGGAUUCUGUUAUUAUAAAGAAAACAAACUUUUCCUUAUCCUAGCUGCCUUGACUAGGUUAAGUAGGAAGCAUCAUAUUCUUUUUUCCUUUUCUUGUCUUGGAUUUUUCCAUUUUGCAUGAUAAGUAAUGUCUAUAAUUUUUUUUAUCAAAAGCAAAAAAAAAAAAAAAAAAAAAAAAGUCUCUAAUUCCAUUGUUUUACUAUUUCAUUUUUCCAUCUACUCUACUUAAUAGAGUGGAGAGUCGCCUCAUUUAUGAUGAGCCUUAUGCAGGAAUUGGACUCUCAAUUCUAAUAUCCCUUAAGUCCAAGUAAUGGAAUGGGCUGGAUUCAUCUGUAUAGUUUUGUAUAGGUGAUUUUGCUGUAAUUUGGGUUUUCAUUUGUUGUAACAGUAUUAGUCUUUAUGUUGUAUAUGGAGGUUGCAAGUUGCAGCUUAAGCUACAAUAUGCUAUACAAAAUGAUGCAGAGCUUGCUCUGCUGUCUGGUUGUUUGGCUUGCACCAAUGUUUUUUUUUUUUAGAUAGGGAUUAAUUUAAAGAUUUUGAGUUUAUUUACGUUGCAUGCAUUAUGUGAGCCUAGAUUUUUGGGUUGGGUCUUCUCCUGUGUGAUUUCAACGACUAUUUGUGUAGGUAUGUGUAAGUAUUUUCUGUCACUUUUGUGUGUAAGUAUUUGGGUUGGGUCUUAUCCUGUGUGAUUUCAAUGAACAUGUAGUGUAACAGUAUAACUUUUUCUAUCAUUUGUCAACCACUUUGUUUUAUGGCUAUUGAAAUUGUUGUAUAAGUUAAUAUGGUCCUUUGAAUUGAUUCUGUUAUGGACCUAUUUUUACGUGUAAUUUAAUAAUUUUGUAGAAUUUGGGUUUGAUUCAUUUCUAUCUGUUUAAAAGAUUCAAUUUUUGGAAAUUCUGAGAAUUGGGGUUUUAUAUAUCAA